RNAcentral lists this long non-coding RNA (229 nucleotides) under Elaeis guineensis (African oil palm). Its description in RNAcentral is "long non-coding RNA (EGUI_LNC029888)". The record is from RNAcentral. Lineage: Eukaryota; Viridiplantae; Streptophyta; Magnoliopsida; Arecales; Arecaceae.
GCAAUAUGAGGGCUACUGGCACCCGACACAUGGCAAAUGCAAACAAAUCUAGGAUUUUCAAGUUUCCACCCACCAUAUAUUAUGGGAUAAAGUACUCCAAGGAGAGAUGUCGGAUCGAUAAUCGAUAGCUAACUACUCCCUUUGCCUGAAGUAGCAAAGCCGCUUCGGGCUCGGGAGAAGGGCAACUGUUAUGAGGAUUGCCCAUCAUCAGACCCAAAUUCUUCCCCUU